GAUGAACGCUGGCGGCGUGCCUAAUACAUGCAAGUCGAGCGAACAGACGAGGAGCUUCUUCCUCUACGGUUGCGGCGGACCGGUGAGUUACACGGUGAAACCCCUCCCUAUAAGACGGGGAAAAUUGCGGAAAACGGGAGCAAAUACGGGAAAAUAUUUUAAACCGCGGGUUUCAAUAGUAAAAACGGGUUUUUGUGUCCCUUAGAGAGGUCCCCGCGCCGCAUUAGCUAGUUGGUAAGGUAACGGCUUACCAAGGCAACGAUGCGUAGCCGACCUGAGAGGGUGAUCGGCCACACUGGAACUGAGACACGGUCCAGACUCCUACGGGAGGCAGCAGUAGGGAAUCUUCCGCAAUGGGCGAAAGCCUGACGGAGCAACGCCGCGUGAGUGAUGAAGGUCUUCGGAUCGUAAAACUCUGUUAUUAGGGAAGAACAAAUGUGUAAGUAACUAUGCACGUCUUGACGGUACCUAAUCAGAAAGCCACGGCUAACUACGUG
Molecule: ribosomal RNA, 497 nt
Filed under: uncultured bacterium
Lineage: Bacteria
Description: partial 16S ribosomal RNA
Rfam family: Bacterial small subunit ribosomal RNA
Source: RNAcentral